GCAAGUAUAGCAUAAUGGAAAUGCCUUCGCCUUCCAAGCGAGAGGAUGUGUGUUCAAAUCACCCUACUUGCA
Non-coding RNA from Endogone sp. FLAS-F59071, 72 nucleotides. NCBI's taxonomy places the organism in Eukaryota, Fungi, Mucoromycota, Endogonomycetes, Endogonales, Endogonaceae. The record is from the annotation of a GenBank genome assembly.